RNAcentral lists this ribosomal RNA (253 nucleotides) under uncultured bacterium. Its description in RNAcentral is "partial 16S ribosomal RNA". It matches the Rfam family "Bacterial small subunit ribosomal RNA", at positions 524 to 776 of the family's 1533-position model. The record is from RNAcentral.
UACGGAGGAUCCAAGCGUUAUCCGGAUUUAUUGGGUUUAAAGGGUGCGUAGGAGGCCUGUUAAGUCAGGGGUGAAAGACGGUAGCUCAACUAUCGCAGUGACUUUGAUACUGAUGGGCUUGAAUACACUUGAGGUAGGCGGAAUGUGACAAGUAGCGGUGAAAUGCAUAUAUAUGUCACAGAACACCAAUUGCGAAGGCAGCUUACUGGAGUGUGAUUGACGCUGAGGCACGAAAGCGAGGGGAUCAAACAGG